RNAcentral lists this long non-coding RNA (581 nucleotides) under Calidris pugnax (ruff). RNAcentral describes it as "lncRNA (ENSCPUG00000009780.1)". Lineage: Eukaryota; Metazoa; Chordata; Aves; Charadriiformes; Scolopacidae. The record is from RNAcentral.
UGUAUGAGCUGUAGGCGAGAUUCUGAUUUUGUUUACACCCUUGUAGAUAAAAGGAUAUUUCUAUAAAGUAACUAACAUUUUUUGGGAUUUAUCUUGCAGCACUGAGUAUCAUGCACAUGAAUGUUUGACAGAGCAGAGGUGAGAAGUGGGAGUUUUUGUCCAUUGAGAAAGCUGGGCAGUUUGACAGAUCAGGAAAACAGGACCAAAACCAGACUUUAUAUGGAACUUAUACUUUUACUCUUUCCUCAUUUCUACGUUUUCCUCCUGAAAACAAAACUCCAUGAACCAAGAUGAUGGUAAAAAGGAGAAAAUGCUUGUGGCAAUAAAAAUGCGUGACACUACAUAAAAAUAAACAAGUGACUAUGGACAAUGGGGGAAGUUAUGCAGAACUGGUGAACUGUGUUCUACUCCUGUUCCCAGUAGCCGUCAUUUUUCCAGCCUUGGCAGGCCAGACUGAAGAAGAGCACGUGAAAAGUGUACCAGGAGAGCACAGCAGCCUGCACAAGCCUAUGGGAGGGGGGAAAAAGUUACAGAGGGAGGAAAAUUACAGAAAAAUGUGGACCCCAAGAGAGUACCUCUGA